This 464-nucleotide ribosomal RNA is filed under the name uncultured bacterium. RNAcentral's name for it is "bacterial SSU rRNA". It matches the Rfam family "Bacterial small subunit ribosomal RNA", at positions 917 to 1382 of the family's 1533-position model. The record is from RNAcentral.
GGGCCCGCACAAGCGGCGGAGCAUGUUGCUUAAUUCGAUGCAACGCGAAGAACCUUACCAAGGUUUGACAUGCAGGGAAAAGCCGUGGAGACACGGUGUCCGUAAGGGCCCUGCACAGGUGGUGCAUGGCUGUCGUCAGCUCGUGUCGUGAGAUGUUGGGUUAAGUCCCGCAACGAGCGCAACCCUCGUUCUAUGUUGCCAGCGGAUAAUGCCGGGAACUCAUAGGAGACUGCCGGGGUCAACUCGGAGGAAGGUGGGGAUGACGUCAAGUCCUCAUGCCCCUUAUAUCUUGGGCUGCAAACAUGCUACAAUGGCCGGUACAGAGGGCUGCGAGACCGCAAGGUGGAGCGAAUCUCAAAAAGCCGGUCUCAGUUCGGAUUGGGGUCUGCAACUCGACCCCAUGAAGUCGGAGUCGCUAGUAAUCGCGAAUCAGCAACGUCGCGGUGAAUACGUUCCCGGGCCUU